Molecule: ribosomal RNA, 253 nt
Filed under: uncultured bacterium
Lineage: Bacteria
Description: partial 16S ribosomal RNA
Rfam family: Bacterial small subunit ribosomal RNA
Source: RNAcentral
UACGUAGGGGGCAAGCGUUGUCCGGAAUCAUUGGGCGUAAAGCGCGUGUAGGCGGCUUGGUAAGUCCGCUCUGAAAGCCCGGGGCUCAACCCCGGGAGGCGGGUGGAUACUGUCAAGCUCGAGUCCGGAAGAGGCGAGUGGAAUUCCUGGUGUAGCGGUGAAGUGCGCAGAUAUCAGGAGGAACACCGAUGGCGAAGGCAGGUCUCUGGGCAUUAACUGACGCUGAGGAGCGAAAGCAUGGGGAGCGAACAGG